This 377-nucleotide unclassified non-coding RNA is filed under the name uncultured Actinomycetes bacterium. Its description in RNAcentral is "uncultured actinobacterium contains 16S-23S intergenic spacer region". Lineage: Bacteria; Bacillati; Actinomycetota; Actinomycetes. The record is from RNAcentral.
UCCGAGUUGACCCCGGCAGUCUCCUAUGAGUCCCCGGCAUAACCCGCUGGCAACAUAGAACGAGGGUUGCGCUCGUUGCGGGACUUAACCCAACAUCUCACGACACGAGCUGACGACAACCAUGCACCACCUGUACACCGCCCCGAAGGACCCCACAUCUCUGUGAGUUUUCGGUGUAUGUCAAGCCUUGGUAAGGUUCUUCGCGUUGCAUCGAAUUAAGCCGCAUGCUCCGCCGCUUGUGCGGGCCCCCGUCAAUUCCUUUGAGUUUUAGCCUUGCGGCCGUACUCCCCAGGCGGGGCGCUUAAUGCGUUAGCUACGGCACAGGAAUCGUGGAAAGAUCCCCACACCUAGCGCCCAACGUUUACAGCGUGGACUAC